GUGAAUCAUCGAAUUUUUGAACGCAAAUUGCACUCUCCGGUUUUCCGGGAGGGUAUGCCUGUUGGCGGGUCAGCCUAAAAAAAAUCGACAUUGUUGCUGUUAUUUAAUGGUGACUUUCGUCGGAGAUUGGGUUAUCUUGAACCGUUGUUUUUUUGUUUGGUUUAAGCGACUUAAAAUUUUUUUUCACGGUUCGAUUA
Molecule: unclassified non-coding RNA, 197 nt
Filed under: Glomus sp.
Lineage: Eukaryota; Fungi; Glomeromycota; Glomeromycetes; Glomerales; Glomeraceae
Description: partial contains 5.8S ribosomal RNA and internal transcribed spacer 2
Rfam family: 5.8S ribosomal RNA (bases 1-72)
Source: RNAcentral